Molecule: unclassified non-coding RNA, 355 nt
Filed under: soil metagenome
Description: partial contains 5.8S ribosomal RNA, internal transcribed spacer 2, and large subunit ribosomal RNA
Rfam family: 5.8S ribosomal RNA (bases 1-120)
Source: RNAcentral
GAUGAAGAACGUAGCGAAAUGCGAUAAGUAAUGUGAAUUGCAGAAUUCAGUGAAUCAUUGAAUCUUUGAACGCACAUUGCGCCCAUUAGUAUUCUAGUGGGCAUGCCUGUUCGAGCGUCAUUAAGUCCACUUAAGCCCUGCUUAGUGUUGGGAGACUGCUCCAGCGGUGCUACCCUGUAGCUACCCUGCAGCUCCUCAAAGACAGCGGCGGAGUUGUGGUAUCCUCUGAGCUUAGUAACUUGUUCUAGCUUUCGAGUACACCACUUCCCCUGCCGUAAAACCCUUAAUUUUUAAUGGUUGACCUCGGAUCAGGUAGGAAUACCCGCUGAACUUAAGCAUAUCAAUAAGCGGAGGA